Molecule: ribosomal RNA, 544 nt
Filed under: uncultured Geobacteraceae bacterium
Lineage: Bacteria; Pseudomonadati; Thermodesulfobacteriota; Desulfuromonadia; Geobacterales; Geobacteraceae
Description: bacterial SSU rRNA
Rfam family: Bacterial small subunit ribosomal RNA
Source: RNAcentral
UUGAGGGCUUGCUCCUCAGUUAGUGGCGCACGGGUGAGUAACGCGUAGAUAAUCUGCCUGAUGAUCUGGGAUAACACUUCGAAGGGGUGCUAAUACCGGAUAAGCCCACGUGGUCUUUGGAUCGUGCGGGAAAAGGGGGGGACCUUCGGGCCUUCUGUCAUCAGAUGAGUCUGCGUACCAUUAGCUAGUUGGUAGGGUAAAAGCCUACCAAGGCUACGAUGGUUAGCUGGUUUGAGAGAAUGAUCAGCCACACUGGAACUGAGACACGGUCCAGACUCCUACGGGAGGCAGCAGUGGGGAAUUUUGCGCAAUGGGCGAAAGCCUGACGCAGCAACGCCGCGUGAGUGAUGAAGGCUUUCGGGUCGUAAAGCUCUGUCGAGGGGAAAGAAGUGUAUUGUGGCUAAUAUCCACGAUACUUGACGGUACCCCUAAAGGAAGCACCGGCUAACUCCGUGCCAGCAGCCGCGGUAAUNCGGGGGGUGCAAGCGUUGUUCGGAAUUAUUGGGCGUAAAGAGCGUGUAGGCGGUUUGUUAAGUCUGAUGUG